UACGUAGGUGGCGAGCGUUGUCCGGAUUUACUGGGCGUAAAGAGCGCGCAGGCGGUCGGCCAAGUCGAGUGUGAAAGCCCCCGGCUCAACUGGGGAGGGUCACUUGAUACUGGUCGACUCGAAGGCGGGAGAGGGAAGUGGAAUUCCCGGUGUAGUGGUGAAAUGCGUAGAGAUCGGGAGGAACACCCGUGGCGAAGGCGGCUCACUGGGCCGGUCCUGACGCUGAGACGCGAAGGCGUGGGGAGCGAACGGG
Molecule: ribosomal RNA, 253 nt
Filed under: uncultured bacterium
Lineage: Bacteria
Description: partial 16S ribosomal RNA
Rfam family: Bacterial small subunit ribosomal RNA
Source: RNAcentral